UGAGGUUGUCGGGUGAAGGACCUUUCAACGAGCCUUCGGCACACACCCAGGGCUGAAGACAUUGAUCCUUGCACACUCACCCUGCUUGCCCACGGCUCUCCAGGACAGCUAGGUCCCCUCUGGCUAAGAGAGAAUGAGGGUGUCAGGCCUCAGGACAGUCUUCCUGAGGGGGCCAGGGCAUUUCACAAAGGACAAAAAUAGACAGGAGAGAGGAGAAAGACAAAGAGAUGGCUCCUGGAAUCCUUUCGGGAAUGAAGGUGUGUGGCCAGCAAGGGCCUCGGAGGCUGGUUUUGAACUCCCAGCCUCAAGCCAUCCUCCUGCCUUGGCCUUUCAAAGUGCUGGAUUAUAGGCAUGAGCCACUGUGCACAGCCGAGACACAGUUUUACAUGGUGUCUUCAGUGGUCAGGAAGCCUCCUGGAGAAAACGACAUUUGAACAAAGACACGAAGAAAGUGGAGAAUAUUUGGGGAAGAGCAUUUCAGGCAGAGGAAGCUGCCAGGGCAGAGGCCCGAGGUGAGACUGUGCUAGCAUGUUAUUAGUUUUUAGUUUUAAAAAGUGCAAAAUAAUAUCCGUUUACUAUGGGAAAAUUAGACAUUAGAAAAGAAAAAUAUCACUUCUUAUCCCUCUUCCCAGAAAAAACCGGUAACAUGGUGAUAUAUAUUUUUGUGGUCUGUUUUAAGCAUACACACACACACACACACACACACACACGUGUGUGUGUGUAUAUAUAUAUUACGUACAUUUUUUACAAGAAUUGGGAUCAUACCAUACAUACGGUUUCAUAACCACUUAUUUGUGUAAUAAUAUAUCAAGGCAAUCAUUGCAUGUCAGUAAGUGUUGAUCCACAUCAUUACUGAAAUGGUUGUAGAAUGUUCCAUCUCACAGAUGUCUCAGAUUUUAUCCAACCAUUUCCCUACUAAUACGCAUUUCGGCGAUUUCCCCAAUUAGAAAUGGCGAUGUAGCCACCGUUCUUGUAGCCUUUCUGCACUGUCUGAGUAUUCAGUUAUUUC
RNAcentral lists this long non-coding RNA (1009 nucleotides) under Callithrix jacchus (white-tufted-ear marmoset). RNAcentral describes it as "lncRNA (ENSCJAG00000087285.1)". Lineage: Eukaryota; Metazoa; Chordata; Mammalia; Primates; Cebidae. The record is from RNAcentral.